Struthio camelus australis is the source of this 2231-nucleotide long non-coding RNA. NCBI's taxonomy places the organism in Eukaryota, Metazoa, Chordata, Aves, Struthioniformes, Struthionidae. The record is from Ensembl.
GUUAUUUUAAUGCUACAGGUAUGGUGAGUCAAAGUUACCCUAAAGGGAGAUCACAGAGACAACUGUGGUUGAACAUGAAGUAGAUGGCAGGCAUCUGGGAACCUGAUCUUUCGUGUGCUGACAACCUGCCCUCUGAUGGGGCUGUCGUACCCCAGCAGCAGAAUGGACAAACAGCAAUUUUGCACCCCGUUCCGUAUGACGGGCAGUCAUUUCCACUGAAGAGCAGGCCUGGUGUAUUUCUCUCAGGCUUCUCCUUCUACAACAAAUCCCUUUCAUUUGGAUGAAGUCUGGCAAAUGAAAAGCAUCGUAUGCCAGACGCUCGCACAGAUGUUCCCGCAUGGCUUGCAGGAAGAAGUACAAGGAUAAUACAGCACCAGAUAGUGUCUACUAAAAAGGAUCCCAGACUUACUUGACUGUCAAGAAGGCCAGGUAGUCACAGACCUCCACUGAACAAACAGGUAAAAAUAGGUUGUCACAGUAGGCCCAAGAGCCUGGGUCCUGCCUGCGGCACUGGAGCUCCAGCUGGACCGGGAGAGCUCUUAUAUACUGCCAUUGCAGGAGUACGAUAUAAGUACUCUUAAAUAGAUUUGGGGCUCACAUCUUGGACUGGAGACUUCAGAGACAGUUAAUCUAAUCGGCAGAUGAAUUGACUUUGAAUCUCAAAGCAAAGCUGAAUAAUUUUAAUGACACAUAGUUGGAGGAGAUAUAAUAUUGUAAUCCCCUAUCGCAUGGCCAUGGUAAGUACUUACAGAUGAUGAAGAAACCUUGUAAAAAGAAACUGACAAGUUCAAAGCAAGUGAGGAGAAGCAAGAUAUUUUCUGCUGAGUAGUGCUUUCUGUCAGCACUGAAAUGACAACAUACUGCUCACACUGUACAUUUGUUACUGUGAUGAUCUCGUUCUCGAUUUUAAAACAGCUGUUUUUUCUGAGAGGCAUUAUUACACACCAGAAAAAGUUCAUUUGGUCCUAUUCUGCAUUCAAGAGAAAGAAAUUGACCAUAUUUCAUUUAUUUUUAGUAUAUCCCUUGAGCUGAAUUGUUAGAAAGAUAAAGCAUGAAAAUAAUGGUAUAGUAAUAUCUGCCAGGAUCAUGCUAUCCUUUAAAUUUAAACAUCACUUCUAUGCACCGAAGCAUAAUCUUGUACUUGUAAUUAUUAAUCAGCAGCACAUUAUCUGAACUACUCAAAGUCAGAUGUCAUAGUGGGUCCAGAAAAGGAGAUUCACUGCAGUGUCAUGAAGAUGAUUACAAUGAGGCAGCAGUGGAAAAAAGAACUAUUAGCGACAGUAGAACGCAUUGUUGCCAGAGACCCUCUGUUCUUUCCAAUUGUACCCUGCAGCCAAGUGCACAUGGUAAUUUUAAAACAUCAGGUCCUUCAGUUCAUUGUGGGCCUGAAAAUGUAAUAGAAUAGGCCUGGAAAAGGUAAUAAUUUGAGUGUUUCAGUUUUCUGAAAGCAACGUUCAUUUCAUUUUUCAUUUUUUAUUUUAAUGUACUUCAGAGCAUAUUCUCUCCUGUGGUUGCUCACACUGUCCAGUCAAUUUCAAUUAUUUGCCACAUGAAGUAAAGCAUGAUUCUGUAAGUAUAUCUCUAAGUGUAUUAGCUAUCAUCAGUAUGCACUUAUGACUGUUGUAUCCUUGAUUACAGAAGAACACACCACUAUUAUCAGUAAACCUCUUUAACUUGCCACAUUUGUGUUUUAAAUAUGUUUAUCCUGCACAUAGGUGAUGACAAUAAGCUUUCAGAGGCUGCUUCAAAUAAUUACUGUCUUGCAGAAAUGUAUAAUACUUACUUAAGGUUAUUUAGUGCAGAAACUAUAGGGAAGUUCUGAAGAACACAUAGGCUGCAAGGUAAGCUGGUCAAACGCAGCUGAGUGCAUUGCUUGAAAUCUCUAGUAGUUAUUAGGAAGUUGAUGAAUGGAACUUGCCAAAAAGGUUUCCAGUGAAUGGACCACAUUAAUGUUGUUGAUUUGUGACAGUGAUGAUAAUGCUAAUUCAAGGGUUAGGUGGAAGCAAGCAGGGCAAACCGGAUUGAUUAUUAUUUUUUUUAUUUAUUUAAUGAAGCAGACCCAAAUGUAUUUAAUCCAAAAACAUGACAGUUCUGUGCAGUUUACUUAACAGUUAGGAGGGAAGCAUUGUUAGACUAGUCCUUUUUGUGACAGUCGUUUAUUGUUGUUUUCAGCUGCAGCUAAAGGCGAAAUUAUUAAUAAAAAGGGAAAGUGUUCUUGACCUUUAAAGAGG